UACGGAGGGUGCGAGCGUUGUCCGGAAUCAUUGGGCGUAAAGGGCGCGUAGGUGGCCCGGUCAGUUCGUGGUGAAAGCGCGGGGCUCAACCCUGCGUCGGCCAUGAAUACUGCCGCGGCUGGAGCACUGUAGAGGCAGGCGGAAUUCCGGGUGUAGCGGUGGAAUGCGUAGAUAUCUGGAGGAACACCGGUGGCGAAGGCGGCAUCCUGGACCGGCAUUGACGCUGAGGCGCGAAAGCCAGGGGAGCAAACGGG
This 254-nucleotide ribosomal RNA is filed under the name uncultured bacterium. RNAcentral's name for it is "partial 16S ribosomal RNA". It matches the Rfam family "Bacterial small subunit ribosomal RNA", at positions 524 to 776 of the family's 1533-position model. The record is from RNAcentral.